This is a long non-coding RNA of Alosa alosa (allis shad), 570 nucleotides long. RefSeq lists it as uncharacterized. The record is from RefSeq and is a predicted model, not a curated record. The transcript has 2 exons. Lineage: Eukaryota; Metazoa; Chordata; Actinopteri; Clupeiformes; Clupeidae.
AUAUUAAUAUGGUCCCUUUUGUAACCCUGGAUGAGGCGACUCAUCGAAUACUUAAGUGUUUAUUUCAGCGCUCGAUAGGUUAUGCCUUAAACUGAUGAGUAAGGAAAAUAACGACGCGGGGUGACGCCCGUGUCCUCGCCAACACAUGCGAGAAGAAUUUUUGAGAGGGUAUAGGUCUGAUUGCUAAGGUGACUCGCUUACUUCGUGAGAUGCCUUGCAGUCUAGGAUCUACCCUACCCCUAAACUUGUUAAAAGAAUACGAGAAGUAAGACAUACCACUCUCAAGGACUAUGAGAAAUGCUACGUAAUAGCGAUGUCGUUCAUUGAACAUACUUUGGUGAUUAAGCCUUCUGCCACAGCACAAGGAGCCGGGGUAUCCACAUAGCCCAUCACCUUAAAAGCUGCAUGCCAAUGCACUCUCAUUCCUCGGUAUGCUUCAGGCAGAAAAGUUUUAUUCAAAAGAAAGGUAAGAACCAAACAGUCUCCUCAAGGGGUUCGUAUACUUUUCAAUGAAACAUGUACAACUGAUCAUGUCCAUUUAACACCAAAUUACAUUUAAACAAUUUAUGA